CCUACGUGUGGCUGCAGUGAGGAAUAUUGGUCAAUGGGCGAGAGCCUGAACCAGCCAAGUCGCGUGAGGGAGUACUGCCCUAUGGGUUGUAAACCUCUUUUGUCGGGGAGCAACAGCCGGACGGUUCCGGCUGUUAGAGUACCCGAAGAAAAAGCGUCGGCUAACGCUGUGCCAGAAGCCGCGGCCAUACGGAGGCUGAGAGCGUUAUCCGGAUUUAUGAGGAUUUAAGGGUGCGCAGGCGGGUUUUUAAGUCAGCGGUCAAAUCGUGGGGCUCAACCCCAUCCAGCCGUUGAAACUGGGGAUCUGGAGUGUGCGAGAGGUAAGUGGAAUGCGUGGUGUAGCGGUGAAAUGCAUAGAUAUCACGCAGAACCCCGAUUGCGAAGGCAGCAUACCGGUGCACAACUGACGCUGAGGCGCGAAAGCGUGGGUAUCGAACAGGAUUAGAUACCCCUGUAGUC
RNAcentral lists this ribosomal RNA (458 nucleotides) under uncultured bacterium. RNAcentral's name for it is "partial 16S ribosomal RNA". It matches the Rfam family "Bacterial small subunit ribosomal RNA", at positions 338 to 795 of the family's 1533-position model. The record is from RNAcentral.